This 450-nucleotide ribosomal RNA is filed under the name uncultured bacterium. RNAcentral describes it as "partial 16S ribosomal RNA". It matches the Rfam family "Bacterial small subunit ribosomal RNA", at positions 338 to 795 of the family's 1533-position model. The record is from RNAcentral.
CCUACGGGGGGCAGCAGUCGAGAAUCUUCGGCAAUGGGCGCAAGCCUGACCGAGCGACGCCGCGUGCGGGAUGAAGGUCUUCGGAUUGUAAACCGCUGUCGGAGGGGAUGAAAUGCAUUGGGGUACUCCCCUGUGUUUGACAGAGCCUCGGAGGAAGCACGGGCUAAGUUCGUGCCAGCAGCCGCGGUAAUGCGAACUGUGGGAACGUUAUUCGGAAUCACUGGGCUUAAAGGGUGCGUAGGUCACGUCUGAAAUCCCCCGGCUCAACCGGGGAACUGCGCUUGAAACUGGGGUGCUCGAGUGAGGUAGGGGUGUAUGGAACUUCCGGUGGAGCGGUGAAAUGUGUAGAGAUCGGAAGGAACGCCGGCGGCGAAAGCGGUACACUGGGCCUUGUCUGACGCUGAGGCACGAAAGCUAGGGGAGUGAACGGGAUUAGAUACCCCGGUAGUC